CAGUGACUGUCCCAUGAAGUUGCCACUUCACAAGCCCUGGACAACUUUCAGGAAGACAGUUCUGGUCUGUAGCAAUUAACACAUGGUCAUCCUCAGAAAAAGGUACCAUUGUGUCUUGAAUCCAGCUUGGCCACAAGGAAAUGGGGCGAGACUUUGUCAUGUAUGUCGCUGAAGUUCAGCUAUGCAAAAAUGUUCACCUAUCCUUGAUCAACCAGUCCAGGAACCAUCAAAGAAGAAAAUGAGAUUCGACUUAGAAGACCUGUUCUUUAUAAACCCCUGCACAGCCCUAAUGAUCAACACCACUUCCAGUGCUCAUAAAUUACUGCUUCAAUAAUUGUUCUGCAAUUCUGCCCAUUCUCAUUGAAUGCUUCGUAUAAUCCCUUUAUCUACUUUGGGCUACAAUUCAUUUUUA
This 412-nucleotide long non-coding RNA is filed under the name Pan troglodytes (chimpanzee). RNAcentral's name for it is "long non-coding RNA NONPTRT005091". Lineage: Eukaryota; Metazoa; Chordata; Mammalia; Primates; Hominidae. The record is from RNAcentral.